Onychomys torridus (southern grasshopper mouse) is the source of this 749-nucleotide non-coding RNA. NCBI's taxonomy places the organism in Eukaryota, Metazoa, Chordata, Mammalia, Rodentia, Cricetidae. The record is from the annotation of a RefSeq genome assembly.
CUCCAGAUCCAAUUAUGUAUCCCCCCUGCCAACCCCGCCUGACACUGCAGCGGCCAGCUCUUGAGGACCUGCUCCUGGGUUCAGAUGCCAGCCUCACAUGUACACUGAAAGGCCUGAAAAAGCCCGAGGGAGUCACUUUCACCUGGAAUCCCACCACUGGGAAGGACGCAGUGACAAACAAACCUGUGAUGGACUCAUGCGGCUGCUAUAGUGUGUCUAGUGUCCUGCCUGGCUGUGCUGAGCUCUGGAACAAUGGGGAGACCUUCACAUGCACAGUUAGCCACCCUGAGUCUGAGACCCUAAGUACCACAAUUGCCAAAGUCACAGAGAACACCUUCCCACCCCAGGUCCACCUGCUGCCGCCGCCGUCGGAGGAGCUGGCCCUGAAUGAGCUGGUGUCCCUGACAUGCCUGGUGCGAGGAUUCUACCCUAAAGAUGUGCUGGUGCGUUGGCUGCAUGGGAACCAGGAGCUGUCUCGUGAUAACUACCUAGUGUGGGAAGCCCAGAAGGAGCCAGGCGAGGGUGCCAACACCUACGCGAUGACAAGUGUGCUGCGUGUGUCAGCUGAAACCUGGAAACAGGGGGACAGUUACUCCUGCAUGGUUGGCCAUGAGGCUUUGCCCUUGGGCUUCACCCAGAAGACCAUCGACCGUCUGUCGGGUAAACCCACCCAAGUCAACGUGUCUGUGAUCAUGUCAGAGGGAGAUGGUGUCUGCUACUGAGCCACCCUGCCUGCCCCUGUUCCUUAA